AACAACUCGGUGCUGUUCGACCAGGCCACCUACGACAAGCUGCUCACCGAGGCGCCCAAGUACAAGCAGAUCACCCCCUCCGUCCUCUCCGAGCGCCUCAGGGUAAACCCCUCCUUCCAGAUCCCGAGGACCAAGUGGUAGAUGAGUAGUGGGUAACUGUAGAACGAAUCGUAUUUGAUGCCUGCAGCUCCUUGGCUCAUCUGAUGGCCAAUUGAAUAGCAGUAAUGGCUUGAUGUGCCAGCCUCUUAUGGAUGUUCUGUGAAUUUUCAAUGCCGUGAACCAUAUCGUAAUCACUAAGCUUGACAGUUAUGAACAAGUCAUAGGUGGUGCCUGUAGAUAUCUAGUGUAUCAGAUUUUCAAUAGCUGAGGUUUUCCACACAUGCUGCAUUGAUCUAAGUUGCUGUAUGAACCCGUAUGCGAAUUAGAUAUUUUUGCGGUAUUGCUUGUCUUGUUUCAGUAUCUUGGUGAUCUUUGCAUACUGCCUUUUUUGUCAUGCAUUGCUCAUUAGGUUUUGCUUCUGUGGAAUUAGAUGUCUGCUGUUUUUACAAACGCUAGUUUAUGCAUCUGUGUUCUUGCUGGGUAUACUAGGUGUCACAGAGGAUGUUUACCAUAAACGCAAUCUUGUAGUUAUUGCCAUAACAUUGUGUAUUGUUUUUUAUCUUGAUAGAUGUGUAUCUUUUGUUUCCUUUUAAAAUGCCAGCUCUCGUAUAUGUUCCUGUUAUCUUUUAAGUAUGAUAAUUACAGUGCAUAGAACUUGAAUGCAGUCUGGUGAGGCAAUUGACUUGCAUAUUGUUUAGCAAUUAUCUUUCUUGCCACUGCAUGACUAAAUUUUUUAUUUCCAUUUGCUUGUAGAUCAAUGGUUCCCUUGCCCGGAGGGCCAUCAAGGACCUGAUGGCUCGUGGCCUCAUCCGGAUGGUCGCCCAGCACUCAAGCCAGCAGAUCUACACCAGGGCAACCAACACCUAAGGAUCCAGGGAGCUGUAAUGCUUUGUUUGCUCUCUGUAGGAGGAGCUCCUCUGCCUUA
RNAcentral lists this long non-coding RNA (1024 nucleotides) under Setaria italica (foxtail millet). Its description in RNAcentral is "long non-coding RNA (SITA_LNC004868)". The record is from RNAcentral. Lineage: Eukaryota; Viridiplantae; Streptophyta; Magnoliopsida; Poales; Poaceae.